RNAcentral lists this transfer RNA (104 nucleotides) under Cylindrobasidium torrendii FP15055 ss-10. RNAcentral's name for it is "tRNA-Pro". It matches the Rfam family "tRNA". From Rfam's summary of the family: Transfer RNA (tRNA) molecules are approximately 80 nucleotides in length. Lineage: Eukaryota; Fungi; Basidiomycota; Agaricomycetes; Agaricales; Physalacriaceae. The record is from RNAcentral.
GGCUUGAUGGUCUAGUAGUAUGAUUCCUGCUUCGGGCUUCAAAACCCCCUCCUUCAUGGAGGAAGCAUUGCAGGAGGUCCCGGGUUCAAUUCCCGGUCAAGCCC